AAAAACAUUGCUGGUUUUGACAAUCCUGGGAAAUGUCUUUACAUUACUAUGAGAGAACUUGUUGAGAAUGCUGAUUCUGCUGAAUCCAUCUCCGAGCUUCCAGUUGUAGAGAUAACCAUUGAAGAGAUUGGCAGAUGUAAAUUUAAUUCCAUGAUUGGUCUGGCUGACCAUGAACGUAGAGAUGAAGCCCUGUAUGAUGAUUUUGAGACAUCAAAGGCUCGUGAGGUGUGUAAGCAAUGAUUUACUCUCACUUAGAUGGCAUUGUGAUU
This is a long non-coding RNA of Solanum tuberosum (potato), 269 nucleotides long. RefSeq lists it as uncharacterized. Lineage: Eukaryota; Viridiplantae; Streptophyta; Magnoliopsida; Solanales; Solanaceae. The transcript has 3 exons. The record is from RefSeq and is a predicted model, not a curated record.